CGCGUGGGAACGUGCCCCAAAGUGAGGAAUAACUGCCCGAAAGGGUAGCUAAUGCCGCAUAUGAUCUUCGGAUUAAAGGAUUUAUCCGCUUUGGGAGCGGCCCGCGUCGGAUUAGGUAGUUGGUGAGGUAAAGGCUCACCAAGCCGACGAUCCGUAGCUGGUCUGAGAGGAUGACCAGCCAGACUGGAACUGAGACACGGUCCAGACUCCUACGGGAGGCAGCAGUGAGGAAUCUUCCGCAAUGGGCGAAAGCCUGAUGGAGCAACGCCGCGUGCAGGAUGAAGGCCUUCGGGUUGUAAACUGCUUUUAUAAGUGAGGAAUAUGACGGUAACUUAUGAAUAAGGAUCGGCUAACUACGUG
Molecule: ribosomal RNA, 360 nt
Filed under: uncultured bacterium
Lineage: Bacteria
Description: bacterial SSU rRNA
Rfam family: Bacterial small subunit ribosomal RNA
Source: RNAcentral